RNAcentral lists this ribosomal RNA (697 nucleotides) under uncultured Bacteroidales bacterium. RNAcentral describes it as "bacterial SSU rRNA". It matches the Rfam family "Bacterial small subunit ribosomal RNA", at positions 47 to 733 of the family's 1533-position model. Lineage: Bacteria; Pseudomonadati; Bacteroidota; Bacteroidia; Bacteroidales. The record is from RNAcentral.
CUUAACACAUGCAAGUCGAGGGGCAGCAUGGUCUUAGCUUGCUAAGACUGAUGGCGACCGGCGCACGGGUGAGUAACACGUAUCCAACCUGCCGUCUACUCUUGGACAGCCUUCUGAAAGGAAGAUUAAUACAAGAUGGCAUCAUGAGUCCGCAUGUUCACAUGAUUAAAGGUAUUCCGGUAGACGAUGGGGAUGCGUUCCAUUAGAUAGUAGGCGGGGUAACGGCCCACCUAGUCUUCGAUGGAUAGGGGUUCUGAGAGGAAGGUCCCCCACAUUGGAACUGAGACACGGUCCAAACUCCUACGGGAGGCAGCAGUGAGGAAUAUUGGUCAAUGGGCGAGAGCCUGAACCAGCCAAGUAGCGUGAAGGAUGACUGCCCUAUGGGUUGUAAACUUCUUUUAUAAAGGAAUAAAGUCGGGUAUGCAUACCCGUUUGCAUGUACUUUAUGAAUAAGGAUCGGCUAACUCCGUGCCAGCAGCCGCGGUAAUACGGAGGAUCCGAGCGUUAUCCGGAUUUAUUGGGUUUAAAGGGAGCGUAGAUGGAUGUUUAAGUCAGUUGUGAAAGUUUGCGGCUCAACCGUAAAAUUGCAGUUGAUACUGGAUAUCUUGAGUGCAGUUGAGGCAGGCGGAAUUCGUGGUGUAGCGGUGAAAUGCUUAGAUAUCACGAAGAACUCCGAUUGCGAAGGCAGCCUGCUAAG